UUAUUAUUAUUAUUAUUAUCAUCAUCAAUGCCGUGAGAUGUUUUUAUGACAAUUUGUAAAAUAUGAAAAUGAAUUAAGUGACUGAUUUUGCUGCCAUUUGUUUGAUCCAGUCAAGUCAGUCCAUUAUUGUUUAUUUGUCUGAUGUUGAAAUUAUUUAUGAUAACACAAGCUACAAUGUACAUUGCUACAUUAAGUGAGUGCAGUGUGUGGGUGUCAGUCUAGACUGUAGAGGCUGUUUACUGGAGGAGAUGUCAUCAAUCUAUCAACCAGUGAAGAGGUACCUUCACUCUACAGUACAGGUAGGAGACUACCUGUACAUGUGGGGUGGGGACCAGU
Amphimedon queenslandica is the source of this 336-nucleotide long non-coding RNA. RefSeq lists it as uncharacterized. The transcript has 3 exons. NCBI's taxonomy places the organism in Eukaryota, Metazoa, Porifera, Demospongiae, Haplosclerida, Niphatidae. The record is from RefSeq and is a predicted model, not a curated record.